GGAAAGUCCGGGCUUCACAGGGCAGGAUGCCGGAUAACGUCCGGUGGAGGCGACUCCAAGGAUAGUGCAACAGAAAUAUACCGCCGGCAGUCGCCGGUAAGGUUGGAAUGGCAGUGUAAGAGACUACCGCCCGCCCGGUAAUGUGCGGGGCAUAUGUAAACCCCAUCCGAAGCAAGACCAAAACGAAGCAUAUGGCGGCCCGUCAGCUUCAGGUAGGUUGCUCGAGCCUGCCGGCAACGGCAGGCCUGGAUAGAUGACCAUUCACGACAGAACCCGGCUUAUCGUUCUGCUC
RNAcentral lists this RNase P RNA (292 nucleotides) under bovine gut metagenome. Its description in RNAcentral is "Bacterial RNase P class A". It matches the Rfam family "Bacterial RNase P class A", at positions 45 to 362 of the family's 367-position model. Rfam says of the family: Ribonuclease P (RNase P) is a ubiquitous endoribonuclease, found in archaea, bacteria and eukarya as well as chloroplasts and mitochondria. The record is from RNAcentral.